CCGAGGUUUUACAUUAUAGUUUACUAAAAUGUAAAUUAUAUUAAAUUAAUGAGUCAUAAAUAAUUUGAAACUGCAUACAAAUUAUUUUCUCCAAAUACCAAUAUUGUUUUAUUAUCGCAUAAAUUUAAAACAAAAUAACUUCAUACAACUAAAUUGAGUAUGUAUUCUUAUAUAAAAUGUUAACUAGAGUUAGAAUCGAAUUUAGAGAUUUCUUGAUGACUGACAAAAUAUAUCGCUGAUCCAGAUUAUCUAUAAUGACUGAGUAAAAUUGAAUUUGGUUUUUUUUUAGCCAAUACAGAAUAGUUUAAUGAUUUUAUUUAUAAUAUGUAAAUCACUAAUUGCAGAAAGAGAUUAUGUCCACUUUUUGACAAAAUUUAGUAAUCACCUGAUUGGUAUUUAUCUACCGUGAAUACAUAUUUUAUGGCGAAUAGGGCUAGUCCAUCAAACUAUUAUGGCAAUAUCAGCCACUAAAGGUAGUAUUUGGUGCAGAAAGGAGCCCAUCCAGGACAUGUACCAGUUUUUUGUGUUUUCUGUAGAAUUUGAUUAUAUAGACAUGCCACUCUUUCUACAAUAAGUAAUUAAUGUAACUUUAUCUUUUGCCUAGGCAAAAAAGGUUGUAGAACCUCCAUAAUUUAAACUUAAUUAGCUUAAAUAAACUUAUUUGUUUAGGAGUGAGAUUUAAUAUUGAUAUACAAUGUUUAGUAUAAUUAUAUUUGAAAAAAUUGUUUCCUUUAACAAUAACAAUGAUAAGGAAAUAGAGGUUCCAAUUGUGUCAUCAAGCAAAGCCAAAUCUUUUUUGACAGGUUUGUGUCAAGUCUUUAAGAUAACACUUGACCAGAUUGUAGUAAACAACUUUUCCAAAGAGACAUUUUUCAUUUUUUUUUCAAUCAUUUGAACUCAGUUAAUCAAAAACUUAACUAAAAAUAAAUAUGUUUUCGUUUUUAAUAGAGUAAUACAUUUUAGAUUUAUUUUUAGACGACUUCACCUCUAGUUUAAAUUUUAAUGGUUUAUAAUACUAGUAUUAUACACAUUAAUUUUGUAUAAAAAAUAUUCUCUUUUUGAAUCUAGUGCGAGAGUUUCUGUUUGAAAAUGAAAGAAUGAAAUGUGUUUAUGUUGUGAAAUAUUCUCAUUUAAAUAAUUCUAUAAUGGCUGAAAACCCCAAAAUCAAUUUAAAAAAAAAAUUAUAAAAAGAUAUUCUGUAUAAUGGAAUAACAAUUUAAAAUACAAAAACAUUAGUUUAUCCAAUAUGUGCUGUAGUAUUUUAGUAUUAGGCAUCUAAACAUUACUUCUUUUAAUUUUAAUUUUAAUUAAUUGUUGAAAUUUAAUUUGUCCAUAUAAAUCAUAAA
Cinara cedri is the source of this 1346-nucleotide non-coding RNA. The record is from the annotation of a GenBank genome assembly. NCBI's taxonomy places the organism in Eukaryota, Metazoa, Arthropoda, Insecta, Hemiptera, Aphididae.